RNAcentral lists this ribosomal RNA (401 nucleotides) under uncultured bacterium. RNAcentral's name for it is "bacterial SSU rRNA". It matches the Rfam family "Bacterial small subunit ribosomal RNA", at positions 356 to 774 of the family's 1533-position model. The record is from RNAcentral.
GGGGAAUAUUGGACAAUGGGCGCAAGCCUGAUCCAGCCAUGCCGCGUGAGUGAUGAAGGCCUUAGGGUUGUAAAGCUCUUUCGCGCGCGACGAUAAUGACGGUAGCGCGAGAAGAAGCCCCGGCUAACUUCGUGCCAGCAGCCGCGGUAAUACGAAGGGGGCUAGCGUUGUUCGGAAUCACUGGGCGUAAAGCGCAUGCAGGCGGAUCGUUAAGUCGGGGGUGAAAUCCCGAGGCUCAACCUCGGAACUGCCUUCGAUACUGGCGAUCUUGAGUCCGGGAGAGGUGAGUGGAACUGCGAGUGUAGAGGUGAAAUUCGUAGAUAUUCGCAAGAACACCAGUGGCGAAGGCGGCUCACUGGCCCGGUACUGACGCUCAGGUGCGAAAGCGUGGGGAGCAAACA